CCUUUCUGGGCUCUGCCUGAAGUGUCUCCUAUUUAUUUAUUUUGCUUUAUGUUAUUUUUUGAGACAGGUUCUGGCUCUAUUGCCCAGGCUGGAGUGCAGUGGCGUGAUCUCAGCUCACUGCAACCUCUGCCUCACAGGUUCAAAGGAUUCUCCUGCCUCAGCCUCCUGAGUACCUGGGAUUACAGGCAUGCACCACUAUGCCCGGCUAAUUUUUGUAUUUUUUAUAGAGUUGGGGUUUCGCCAUGUUGACCAGGCUGGUUUUGAACUCCUGGCCUCAAGCAAUUCACUGGCCUUGGCAUCCCAAAGUACUGGAAUUACACCUGGCUAAGCCUCUUCUAUUUAAAAAUAGAAAUAAAAGAAAAAAAAAACAGAUCAAAACCAAAAGUUAUAGUGAGAGUGGACAAGCCCUGGACAACAGCAGGCAUGAGGACUUACAGCCCACAUGCUCAGCCACCAGGUGCAAUCUCCAACAUGUGCGGGCUUUGGGAAAACACAAUCGGGCAAGUGAAGUUUGUUGCAGACAAGUUCUUCUUCCCCUCUGCCACAACCUCCUCCAAGGCAUAGCAGCAAAUCAGCCUUUCAGAAUAUUGCAGGAUCAGCAAUGAAAUUCCCUUUGCCAGAGAAAUGGACAAACAAGGAAGCAACAAUGGUGAUGGUGGAAGUGUUCUUCAAGUCUAAGUUUGGGUUCUAGAAACAUCUGGCCAAAUAACGUCUUUCACAACUAAAAUAGAAUAUAAAGAAGCCAUUUGACCUGCCUCAGUUAUCAUGGUCAUCAUGACAAGCUGCAGCAGGACAAAUCAGCUUAACAAUUUCGGAAACUGCCAGAAAUGCUAUUUGGAUUAAUUUUUAUUUGGGAGUUGGCUAAAACUGGUCACAUCCCCAAAUACCUCAAGAUAAACAACAUAGCAUUAUCAUACAAAUCUAUAUUCACCAAAUUAGGUUAAAAUAGGCUGUUUUGAGAAGGUUGAAUUUUUUUAUGGGGAUUAUUCCCAAAAUACGUUUAGACACAAGAAGUUCAACUUUUCUUUUUUCCAUAUUUGAUGUCAAUCAAACUAAUUACUACAUGUUUGGAAUUGCAUUAAUUGUAUUCUUCAGUUACCUAUAAAAUUUAAUUAUCAUGUCUUUAUGGAAAUUUUAAUAUCAGAUAUAAAGAAUGGCAUAUUUAAAAUGACAUUUUAAUACUUUAUAAGAAGCAACAGAAAUUCGACUUCCAAAGCACCUCUCAGUACUACCAUUGGAGUACAUCUAUAUUUUUCUGUCAGAAUACUAUCCAAAGCAAGCAUAAGUAAUCCUUAUUUUCACGAUACAUUGAUGCUCAAAAGUUGUGUGUUCAGCAUGUCUACAAAGUAAAUUACCGUAUAUUUGAAACAGCAGACUAAAACUGAAGUAACAUCUGGAAAAAAUUGCCCUAAUUGCUAGCCCCUAAAUUCAUCUGACCUUGACACUCUCAUCUGAAUUUAAAAGUGUUUUAAAUUCUUAGCCAAUCAAUUCAAGCCAGAACUGAAUUCAUAUGUCUUCAGAAACUGCUAAUCUAGAACAAUGUAACUAGAAUAGAUUCCUGAUCAAACUUUGGUUUUGUUCAGGUAUCCACUCAUUUCCUAGGUGACCCAGAGGCCACAACUCACAACUCCACCCCUUCCCGUGGCUGGUCCAGGCUGUGCAGAUCUUGUAGUCACAAAGUCCUGGCAAUGGGCUGGGGGUGGGAUCUGACCUAGUGCUGACCAACAUGUCAAAAACAGAUGGCUGCAGAACCCUCUGGAAAAGCUUCCCUCAUUCUUAAGGAAUCCUGUGAAGAGAUGGUCUGUUUCUGUCCUGUUCCCUGGAUGUCAAAUGUCUGGGUUUGAGACCCAGAACUCCUGAAGCCAUCUCACAACUACAAGGGGAGCAGAUGUAGCCACUGAGGAUGGCCAAGCAGAGGGAGGGAGGACCUUUCCUGCCAGCAUCGCCAGCGGCUGAAUCACAGCCCAGAACCCCACAGCACCCUAAACGUCCUCUUAACAAAUGUAAUACGUUGUCUUACUGUUUGUGCCUGUGUGAAAAGUCCUCUUUGCUUGCAGUGAAGGCAUCCUAGUUGAUAAACAUGAAAUUUGAAAAUUGGAGAUUU
RNAcentral lists this long non-coding RNA (2104 nucleotides) under Homo sapiens (human). Its description in RNAcentral is "HSALNT0400113". The record is from RNAcentral. Lineage: Eukaryota; Metazoa; Chordata; Mammalia; Primates; Hominidae.